This 4011-nucleotide long non-coding RNA is filed under the name Daphnia magna. Its description in RNAcentral is "uncharacterized LOC116923067, transcript variant X5". The record is from RNAcentral. Lineage: Eukaryota; Metazoa; Arthropoda; Branchiopoda; Diplostraca; Daphniidae.
CGUCAUCCCUGUCAAAUUUUGGAAUGACGGUGCAUGGUUUCCCCUCCACAGUGAAAAGAGUCAAUACUCAGCGGUCAUUUCCGUUUUGUAACUAGUUCAAGGAUUACGACAUCCAAAUGAUUUGCUGACAUCGCGAAAGUCCUUUUCAUUUUAUUACACAAGGUCGCAAGUUAUCACCGGUAAUAGUUUUUUGCUUGAGGGAAAAUGCUGUACAGCACAAGCCGGCCAUUUUGGAUUGCAUUUGUGAUGAGGAUGGGGCAGAUUCUUUUUCUUCUUUCUCGAAAGAAACUCAAAUGUGCCAAGAAUCGAACCCUUUCUCCUAAUCCACCAUUAAGGCUGAUGCAACGAAAACGACGAUCUAGUUUUGUCACAGCUGCAAGAGCGUCCGGUCAGUUGUGAGUUGCUUCUUUUCUUUACUUUCUUUUUUCAUGCGUUACACCUGUUUGUUGCAAAGGUUUUGUUUGUGCUACUAUCAACUGAAGUAGCCAUAUGAUGUGUCAAUCACGUAUACGGAGAAAAAAGCUUUAUUUACUAUCGUUUGGGUGAAACCGUUAUUGCAUUAAUUUUACCAUUGAAUUAUGUUAAUGGUUUUAUCUUUCAUUAAUAACUCGUAACUAUUGAGAGUAGUGCACAACAACGUUUUGAUGUUGUAAUGUAUUUUUUGGCUUGCUAGAUUCAAUCAAAAUCAGCGUUUUGUGACUAGACCAUGGUGACUUUUUGACAAGAGUGUACGUUCUUGCAUUAGGACAAUAUUCAUUUGAAGAAUUAGUUUCUCUUUGCAAUUUUCUUUUGGUGACUUUAGUGCUCUCGAUGUAAGUGUCUUGGUGUCCGUGCAUAUGAAACUUCCCAUGUAUAAUAACGUUAUCAGAUCGAUAAGCUAAAAGUCUGGUUGGUUACCAAUUGAACUGUAGACAGUUUGACACGUUGUUCAUCAAAAAUUUCUUUAUUCGAAGCGUCAAUCGGGAAUGAAUAUAGCAACAUGCUGAUUUCAUAUUAUUUGAGAAAAACGCACAGAUAUAGCAGGAAGAGGUGGGUCGUACGAUAUACAUUCAACUCACGUACACCCCAUACCAACAAGGCACAUUCCACAUUAUUGAAAGAAACCACCAGCCCUAUUUGCCACGGAACUACGAACUAAUCAUCAGUGACGCUUUGUGAUGAAGUCAGAAAUUUGCUUCUUUUGCUGCAAGUACUCCAUAACUUCUCAUGGAAUGGCUGAUAACACAAAUGUUGUGUAAAAAUAAAGGAUAUUGUAGCAUCGUUAUAAAUUUCCAACAUCCGGAGUGUACCGCAUGUUCCAUUAACGAUGUCCUACAAGAAUUAAGCUUGUGUAGCUCCAUCGUAAUUAGGGAAAUUGCUGCUGGGAUCCAUUACGCAGGCGUCUCAAAACAAUUGCUGAUUCUUUUGCAAAAGGCGAUAAAACAAUACUGGAUUAACGGCAGCAUUUGCUAUGGCCAGCCAAUAAACGCUCAUGUAAAUCCGUUUCGUCGUGACAUUCUCUUCCGUCUGAAAAGCCUGGUACAUCAAGUACGUCUGAUAGGGUAGCCAGCACAAACAGAAGAUGACCAAUAUCGCCCACAUGCCACCUGCUAAAUUCUUAAACGUAGAUAAAACGACACUUAGCUGGAGAUUAUUUCGCAUUCCAUCGUCCUCGACGGUUAGGACGGUACUUGUUGUUAGUACGACGGCGAUCCGGAAGUUCCAAUAGGCCAUUGACACCGAUGGCAGAAGGAAAAUUGCCUUAAGGACGUUAAAAAGCUUACCCAUCAAGGAUGUAAAUGAAAUUGAAGAUGCCUUCUAAAUAGAGCAUAGCAAAAUCAGCUAUUGUGAGGCUCAACAUGAAGCAACUAUGAGCUUUGGCCAAUCGUCGUCGAGCUUUUUAAAAUUGCCACAACAAGAAGUACACCAAAUGCAAAAAUCCAUGCCGUCUUCUCAUCCGCGUCCAACUGCGACGUAGACACUCCAGUCAUGUUAGAAGCCACUAAAAGCGUCCGACUUCUCAGGAUGUUGUAAACUGGCGUUCAAAAGCUAGAUAUAGCAUCUUGUAAUAGAUCGUAGGCUUUUUACAAGAUUUUCCUUUCCCGGUGCCUAAAGGAAGGUAGCAACGACGGACAUGCGCUAUGAUAAGUUUCCAAAUGAAGGAGAAGUCAGGACAGUUUAGAUGUCAAGGAGUCCGACUGAUAAAGCUUCUGAACACUUCCAUUACAAAGUUAUUCGACAAGACGGGCGAUAUCACGGUGUGGGAAGCAAAGCUAUUAAAGGAUCGUAGAGAAGUCGAUUGCUAUUCACUCCCCAGAGGAAAUCGAGAUGAUUGAACUCUGGCCAAUCAAUCCUCACAGAUGACUGCAAGUUCCCCAGCUGUUUUGACAGCCACUCGAUGUCCUGUCGCAAGCAAAUCCCCAGGACCCCAGAAGAGGUACACUGGAGCUGUCACCAGGCUAAGAUUGUACGAUGGAGGCCGGGAGAUACCAUAGCGGCGUAAAUUCUCGGAAGGACCGUGGUCGUAGGCCCGAAACUGUUCUCCUUCACGUUUACCUGCACCAGACGGAAAGCUCUGGUGCGUGUGGAUCGCAAAAAGAACUGACCGUCUACGUGAGGAGCAAGGGCCUUCACAGGGCUGUUGAAAUGGGCCAUGCUGGCAACAGGUGCCAAGCCAAUCAUCAAAUCGAUUUUAUGGUUCAGUUCCGGCCGACUGGCCGUCGCUAUAUAAAACAUGGCAGCACCCAUUGAAUGACUGCCAUAACAUGAAGCACGUUAAUCCUGUUUACGAUCCAUUGUUGUUAACAACUUGUUACCCGAUAUAUAUAAGCUUGGGUUGCUGAGUCAACUUGAGAAUGAAUUCAAUGUUGGCAGGCACGUCAUACAGCCCCAUUUCGUCGUACCUAAUGCGUUGUUACGAGAAAUUCCAGUAUGCUUCUUUUUUGGGAUCCAGUUGGACGUGUUGUCUCGAAUAUGUGUUUCCUCUUGAAUUUGAAAGGGAUUGACCGGCAGGAUUGGUGAUCCAGUCAACAUCUGUACUCAAUAGCCCAUGUUGGAGCAAUACAGGUCGACCACUGGACAAACCAAUACGAUGCAAUUCCAGAAUGUAUCCAUCUUCUGUUGUGACGUGGUAGACGGUGCAAACAUAGCCACGUGAACGGAUUAUCUCCACCUACAGAACAAAAGUAUUCAGAACCAUUUGAUACAUGCGCAUGUAACUCAUUCGUACCGUUGACAUGGUGGCAUCCGGAUUGCGGACAUUGGUGGCAAUGCAAAGGGUGUGAUGAACCAACGUCAGCACCAGAAUUUCGACGAACAAGACAAGUCGCAUUCCCAACAAAGGACGAAAAGACUGACCCAUCAGCUGAACAGCUAACAGCCAGGUGUAAGGGCCAUUGCACAGCUAAUGAAUGAGAAUGAAGAAGAAAUUGAAUGUAUCCCUACAGCAACCUCUCUAUACCUUUCGAUUUGCCGUUGGGGAUUUCUGAACACGAAUGGCUGUCUGGCUUAAGCUGGAAUACCGUUUUAGAGCACUGUUCGUCAAGCGGGUACGGGCUUAACUUUUUUGUCACGUGUAGAGUCAAAAUUCUAUUAUAGGGUUCAUGACCUUGAUGUGUGUCAGGUUUGAUGAACCCGUUAUUGCCAUAGAGAGACGAGAACGGCUGGCUACCUGCGUCGAAUAAUAUAGUGAUGUCCUGUAGUAAACUACGUACAGGUAAAGCUCCGACCCCAAAUCGUCUUUAUGCUGGAAAUUCGAAUGUCAUGUAAAAAGAAAAGUUUAUUUCUUAGUCUGGGAUUUUGGCUCAGAAGAUUUCCACACAAUAUUAGUGUAAUGUUACACAUUGUCACAUUAAAAUAUUUAUUACAAACAUGUCGAAUGAGGUAGAUUCAAUUGGCCCUGCAAUACGCGUGUUUGCAGCUUCUAUUUGAAGAAAAAGAAAUAAUUGAAACAAUGAAAACAAUAAUAAAUAUUGACUCGAGUAACAUACCAAAAAGAUAAAAUUUAAAGAAUACAUUACUUUUUGAAAUACG